RNAcentral lists this ribosomal RNA (253 nucleotides) under uncultured bacterium. Its description in RNAcentral is "partial 16S ribosomal RNA". It matches the Rfam family "Bacterial small subunit ribosomal RNA", at positions 524 to 776 of the family's 1533-position model. The record is from RNAcentral.
UACGAAGGGGGCUAGCGUUGUUCGGAAUCACUGGGCGUAAAGCGCACGUAGGCGGAUGUGCCAGUCAGGGGUGAAAUCCCGGAGCUCAACUUCGGAACUGCCUCUGAUACAGCACGUCUUGAGUCCGGAAGAGGUGGGUGGAAUUCCUAGUGUAGAGGUGAAAUUCGUAGAUAUUAGGAAGAACACCGGUGGCGAAGGCGGCCCACUGGAUCGGUACUGACGCUGAGGUGCGAAAGCGUGGGGAGCAAACAGG